GAGGAAUAUUGGUCAAUGGAGGAAACUCUGAACCCAGCUAUACCGCGUGGAGGACGACAGCCCUUAUUGGUUUUAAACUCCUUUUGUAUAGAAAUAAAAUUUUCUACGAGAUAGAAAUUUGAAGGUACUAUACGAAUAAGUGUCAGCUAAUUUCGUGCCAGCAGCUGCGGUAAUACGUAAGACACAAGCGUUAUCCGGAUUUAUUGGGUUUAAAGGGUGUGUAGGCUGUUUAUUAAGUCAGUAGUGAAAGCUUACAGCUUAACUGUAAAAUAGUUAUUGAUACUGGUAAACUUGAGUAAGAUUGGAGUAUUUGGAAUGUAUGGUGUAGCGGUGAAAUGCAUAGAUAUCAUACAGAACACCAAUAGCGAAGGCAGGAUACUAAAUCUUUAUUGACGCUGAAAUACGAAAGCGUGGGUAGCAAACAGGAUUAGAUACCCUGGUAGUCCAUGCCCUAAACGAUGAUCACUAGCUAUUGGAAAAACUAUAUUCAGUGGCUAAGCGAAAGCGAUAAGUGAUCCACCUGGGAAGUAUAGUCGCAAGAUUGAAACUCAAAGGAAUUGACGGGGUUUCGCACAAGUGGUGGAGCAUGUGGUUUAAUUCGAUGAUACGCGAGAAACCUUACCAAGGCUUAAAUGUAUUACGAAUAAGUUGGAAACAUCUUAGUCUAUAAUGACGUGAUACAAGGUGCUGCAUGGUUGUCAUCAGUUCGUGCUGCGAAGUGUUUGGUUGAGUCCUAUAACGAGCGCAACCCUUAUUGUUAGUUGCCAUCAGAUAAUGCUGGGGACUCUA
RNAcentral lists this ribosomal RNA (789 nucleotides) under Candidatus Uzinura diaspidicola. RNAcentral's name for it is "bacterial SSU rRNA". It matches the Rfam family "Bacterial small subunit ribosomal RNA", at positions 356 to 1142 of the family's 1533-position model. Lineage: Bacteria; Pseudomonadati; Bacteroidota; Flavobacteriia; Flavobacteriales. The record is from RNAcentral.